GGCAGUGGUGUAGGGGGAUAGUGUUGGACUGAAAGUCAAGAGAACUGGGUUCUAUUCCCAGCUCUGUCA
Non-coding RNA from Cnephaeus nilssonii (northern bat), 69 nucleotides. Lineage: Eukaryota; Metazoa; Chordata; Mammalia; Chiroptera; Vespertilionidae. The record is from the annotation of a GenBank genome assembly.